Molecule: ribosomal RNA, 687 nt
Filed under: uncultured bacterium
Lineage: Bacteria
Description: bacterial SSU rRNA
Rfam family: Bacterial small subunit ribosomal RNA
Source: RNAcentral
GGCGAACGGGUGAGUAACACGUGAGCAACCUGCCCUUGACUCUGGGAUAACAGUUGGAAACAGCUGCUAAUACCGGAUACGACCCUGGAUGACAUCAUCCGGGGUGGAAAGCGCUUUAGCGGUCAAGGAUGGGCUCGCGGCCUAUCAGCUUGUUGGUGAGGUAACGGCUCACCAAGGCUUCGACGGGUAGCCGGCCUGAGAGGGCGACCGGCCACACUGGGACUGAGAUACGGCCCAGACUCCUACGGGAGGCAGCAGUGGGGAAUAUUGCACAAUGGGCGCAAGCCUGAUGCAGCAACGCCGCGUGCGGGAUGACGGCCUUCGGGUUGUAAACCGCUUUCAGUUCCGACGAAGCGCAAGUGACGGUAGGAACAGAAGAAGGACCGGCCAACUACGUGCCAGCAGCCGCGGUGAUACGUAGGGUCCGAGCGUUGUCCGGAAUUAUUGGGCGUAAAGGGCUUGUAGGCGGUUUGUUGCGUCGGAAGUGAAAACUCAGGGCUUAACCCUGAGCCUGCUUCCGAUACGGGCAAACUAGAGGGAUGCAGGGGAGAAUGGAAUUCCUGGUGGAGCGGUGGAAUGCGCAGAUAUCAGGAGGAACACCGGUGGCGAAGGCGGUUCUCUGGGCAUUUCCUGACGCUGAGAAGCGAAAGCGUGGGGAGCAAACAGGCUUAGAUACCCUGGUAGUCC